UCCUCGUCAGUUAGCCAUUAGCGGAACACCGGCCCUGGUGGAUCUCACCAAAACCCUAUCGGAACGUGGCGUAAAAACUAACCGCGUGUGUCCGGAAACGGAGUCCAGAUCGGUGGUGACUGAGUACGCCAUCAGCGUGCUCCGAAAAACCCAACAUUCGAACGCGUCCCAAGAUUUCACUUCCUAAUAUCAAAGCACAAAAUAUAAAAAAAACUAAGGUUUAUGUACAUGCAGGAAUUAGCUUGAUUUGUGUAGGUCUGCUUCAGUUGGUGGCAUAAUGGCCUACGAGAUUAGUGAGCUGAAAAAGGUUGGCAUAGGUCUGAUAGGCUUUGGCAUCCUGUUCUCAUUUCUGGGCGUUAUUCUCUUCUUUGACAGGGGCUUGCUGGCUCUGGGUAAUUUAUUUUGCUUGUCUGGUGUUGGUGUUCUACUUGGUUGGCAAUCUACAUGGCAACUUUUUACAAAGAAAACGUAUUAUAAGGGUUCUAUACCUUUUUUUCUUGGGCUCUUUCUCAUAUUUGUCCGUUGGCCUAUAACCGGUAUCAUCUUGGAAAUAUAUGGCUCAAUUGUUCUAUUCAGUGGCUUUGGGCCUUCUAUCAAGGUUUUUCUUUCUCAUAUACCAGUGGUGGGAUGGCUUCUGCAAUACCCUUUUCUGUUCUUCAAUCGCUUGAGGCAGAUGCUUGGUUGAAGAUAUACUGAUCUUGAAAGUGGGAUCUUGACCGGAGCAGUGGUUCUCAAUAGACGCUCUUGCAGAUCUAGUUUACAAGAUUCACAAUGUCAUGCAGCCAUGUCAACACCACUUUUGUUCAAUUAAAUCAAGUGAAUUGUUGCUCAGAUCACUGCAUGGCGAUGGAUGUGGCACUUACAGAUGUGUCAUGACUCAUGAUAUCUUUUCUAGCUUUUGUUAUUGAUCUCGGUUGACCUUGAUACCUUGCUGUCUUUGUAGCACAAGACUUUUAGCCUUCUGACAUACUAUAUGUGAUUGCCUUUUGUACUUGUUAUGUAGUAUGAGAACCUUUUGGAAGGAAUGCCUCUGUAGUUCUCUUUCAGUAAUUCACUAGUUCUUAACUUGUUCUUUGUUCAAUUUUUCUGCUAGUCAUGACAUUCAUUUUGGAGCAAAACCACAAUGUCCCCCAUGUAAUUGGUUUUGAUCAAAAUAUGAAAUUUCUUUCAUUGGGUCCAACAGUUCUGGGGCCUUAUGAAAGUGUGUUA
This is an RNA transcript of Elaeis guineensis (African oil palm), 1209 nucleotides long. It is a transcript of the gene named vesicle transport protein GOT1, with no coding region annotated. Lineage: Eukaryota; Viridiplantae; Streptophyta; Magnoliopsida; Arecales; Arecaceae. The record is from RefSeq and is a predicted model, not a curated record.